GGAAGAAUUAACUUCAAUUGUUUCAAUAUAAAACAUAAUACUACUAAAUGUUUAUAACAAUAUUGUGCUUAAACCAAAGGAAGUGUGACAGCGCUCUCAUGCAGAUAGUACAAAAUGUAAAAGAAAAAGGAGAAUUACUAUAUGUGUGUUCUAACCAUCAUUUAAAUACUCAACAUGUUAAUUCAAUAAAAUAGUUGAAAGCAGUGAAAGUUAAAAGUAUCUGGUGCACAAUUAAUCAUCGCAGAAGGAAGCGUACAUGCAGGCAUUUCACAGAAACAAGUUGUGGACCCACUCCAUAGAACAUAGUAUACGACUGUCAGCAGAAACGAAUGGAUAAACUAACCUCAAUUGCCUUAAUAUAUAUGGAAGAGAAUAAUACUAUUAAAGACUUACAAUAAUAUCUCAAUUAAACUAAAUGAAGCACGAUAACAAUCAAUAACUGAUGCUCAACAACAGACUUACAGUUGGCCAAUGGAAAAUAAAACUGAAAAAAUCAAGAAAAUUAAUGACAUUAUAACGAAAUAACUCAGCGUUGAUACAGUAGUCUUUAAUAAGAAGAAAUAAAAUCAGUUAAUAAGUGCAGAAAGAGUCAAGAAAUAACUAAGAUAGGUUAAGUGAAUGACAACGAUAAUUCACUACUCACAUCGAAGAAGUUUAUACAAGGGUCAACGCAGUUAUGAGAAACCAACUACCAAAUUGGAAUAAAUGUGUACGAAGAAUCGAAGUUGAUACUACCGGAAUGUUAACGAGGUCUGUAUGCAACCAAUCAUCGUAGAAGAAAGUGUACAUGCAGGAACCCCACGAGAAUUGGCUACGGAUCCAACUUUGCAAAACAUAAUAUACGACGGUAUGAAGAUAUCGAAGGUAAUAAAUACCGAGGUAACCAAUCAUAACCUAAAAAGGGGAAGAAUGUUGUAAACCAUCUUGGAAUAGAAAUUGAUAAUAAUAAAAAGCUUGUUACUCACAUCUGAAGAUAUACAUUAAAGCCGACACAGUUACAAGAAGCCUACUACCAAACUUAAGUGAAUACUUAUGGAAUACUGAACCAGAUACUACCGAAACAGUCAAGGCUGCAACAGGAAACUGGAAAACCAAGGAAAUAUUCUGACACUAUAGCAAAACAAUUUGAUGCUAACGAAGCGGUCUUAGCAAACAAGAUAGUGGACGGACUAUUUUACUAUACAGAUAUU
Bombus huntii is the source of this 1190-nucleotide long non-coding RNA. RefSeq lists it as uncharacterized. The transcript has 2 exons. NCBI's taxonomy places the organism in Eukaryota, Metazoa, Arthropoda, Insecta, Hymenoptera, Apidae. The record is from RefSeq and is a predicted model, not a curated record.